RNAcentral lists this ribosomal RNA (2900 nucleotides) under Klebsiella pneumoniae. RNAcentral's name for it is "23S ribosomal RNA". It matches the Rfam family "Bacterial large subunit ribosomal RNA". The record is from RNAcentral. Lineage: Bacteria; Pseudomonadati; Pseudomonadota; Gammaproteobacteria; Enterobacterales; Enterobacteriaceae.
UUAAGCGACUAAGCGUACACGGUGGAUGCCCUGGCAGUCAGAGGCGAUGAAGGACGUGCUAAUCUGCGAAAAGCGUCGGUAAGGUGAUAUGAACCGUUAUAACCGGCGAUGUCCGAAUGGGGAAACCCAGUGUGAUUCGUCACACUAUCGUUAACUGAAUACAUAGGUUAACGAGGCGAACCGGGGGAACUGAAACAUCUAAGUACCCCGAGGAAAAGAAAUCAACCGAGAUUCCCCCAGUAGCGGCGAGCGAACGGGGAGCAGCCCAGAGUCUGAAUCAGCUUGUGUGUUAGUGGAACGGUCUGGAAAGUCCGACGGUACAGGGUGAUAGUCCCGUACACCAAAAUGCACAGGCUGUGAACUCGAAGAGUAGGGCGGGACACGUGGUAUCCUGUCUGAAUAUGGGGGGACCAUCCUCCAAGGCUAAAUACUCCUGACUGACCGAUAGUGAACCAGUACCGUGAGGGAAAGGCGAAAAGAACCCCGGCGAGGGGAGUGAAAAAGAACCUGAAACCGUGUACGUACAAGCAGUGGGAGCACCUUCGGGUGUGACUGCGUACCUUUUGUAUAAUGGGUCAGCGACUUAUAUUCUGUAGCAAGGUUAACCGUAUAGGGGAGCCGCAGGGAAACCGAGUCUUAACUGGGCGUUAAGUUGCAGGGUAUAGACCCGAAACCCGGUGAUCUAGCCAUGGGCAGGUUGAAGGUUGGGUAACACUAACUGGAGGACCGAACCGACUAAUGUUGAAAAAUUAGCGGAUGACUUGUGGCUGGGGGUGAAAGGCCAAUCAAACCGGGAGAUAGCUGGUUCUCCCCGAAAGCUAUUUAGGUAGCGCCUCGUGAACUCAUCUUCGGGGGUAGAGCACUGUUUCGGCUAGGGGGUCAUCCCGACUUACCAACCCGAUGCAAACUACGAAUACCGAAGAAUGUUAUCACGGGAGACACACGGCGGGUGCUAACGUCCGUCGUGAAGAGGGAAACAACCCAGACCGCCAGCUAAGGUCCCAAAGUCAUGGUUAAGUGGGAAACGAUGUGGGAAGGCACAGACAGCCAGGAUGUUGGCUUAGAAGCAGCCAUCAUUUAAAGAAAGCGUAAUAGCUCACUGGUCGAGUCGGCCUGCGCGGAAGAUGUAACGGGGCUAAACCAUGCACCGAAGCUGCGGCAGCGACACUAUGUGUUGUUGGGUAGGGGAGCGUUCUGUAAGCCUGCGAAGGUGUGCUGUGAGGCAUGCUGGAGGUAUCAGAAGUGCGAAUGCUGACAUAAGUAACGAUAAAGCGGGUGAAAAGCCCGCUCGCCGGAAGACCAAGGGUUCCUGUCCAACGUUAAUCGGGGCAGGGUGAGUCGACCCCUAAGGCGAGGCCGAAAGGCGUAGUCGAUGGGAAACAGGUUAAUAUUCCUGUACUUGGUGUUACUGCGAAGGGGGGACGGAGAAGGCUAUGUUAGCCGGGCGACGGUUGUCCCGGUUUAAGCAUGUAGGCUGGUUGUCCAGGCAAAUCCGGAUAAUCAAGGCUGAGGUGUGAUGACGAGGCACUACGGUGCUGAAGUAACAAAUGCCCUGCUUCCAGGAAAAGCCUCUAAGCAUCAGGUAACAUCAAAUCGUACCCCAAACCGACACAGGUGGUCAGGUAGAGAAUACCAAGGCGCUUGAGAGAACUCGGGUGAAGGAACUAGGCAAAAUGGUGCCGUAACUUCGGGAGAAGGCACGCUGGUGUGUAGGUGAAGCCCCUGCGGGUGGAGCUGAGACCAGUCGAAGAUACCAGCUGGCUGCAACUGUUUAUUAAAAACACAGCACUGUGCAAACACGAAAGUGGACGUAUACGGUGUGACGCCUGCCCGGUGCCGGAAGGUUAAUUGAUGGGGUUAUCCGUAAGGAGAAGCUCUUGAUCGAAGCCCCGGUAAACGGCGGCCGUAACUAUAACGGUCCUAAGGUAGCGAAAUUCCUUGUCGGGUAAGUUCCGACCUGCACGAAUGGCGUAAUGAUGGCCAGGCUGUCUCCACCCGAGACUCAGUGAAAUUGAACUCGCUGUGAAGAUGCAGUGUACCCGCGGCAAGACGGAAAGACCCCGUGAACCUUUACUAUAGCUUGACACUGAACAUUGAGCCUUGAUGUGUAGGAUAGGUGGGAGGCUUUGAAGCGUGGACGCCAGUCUGCGUGGAGCCAACCUUGAAAUACCACCCUUUAAUGUUUGAUGUUCUAACGUUGGCCCCUUACCGGGGUUGCGGACAGUGUCUGGUGGGUAGUUUGACUGGGGCGGUCUCCUCCCAAAGCGUAACGGAGGAGCACGAAGGUUAGCUAAUCCUGGUCGGACAUCAGGAGGUUAGUGCAAUGGCAUAAGCUAGCUUGACUGCGAGCGUGACGGCGCGAGCAGGUGCGAAAGCAGGUCAUAGUGAUCCGGUGGUUCUGAAUGGAAGGGCCAUCGCUCAACGGAUAAAAGGUACUCCGGGGAUAACAGGCUGAUACCGCCCAAGAGUUCAUAUCGACGGCGGUGUUUGGCACCUCGAUGUCGGCUCAUCACAUCCUGGGGCUGAAGUAGGUCCCAAGGGUAUGGCUGUUCGCCAUUUAAAGUGGUACGCGAGCUGGGUUUAGAACGUCGUGAGACAGUUCGGUCCCUAUCUGCCGUGGGCGCUGGAGAAUUGAGGGGGGCUGCUCCUAGUACGAGAGGACCGGAGUGGACGCAUCACUGGUGUUCGGGUUGUCAUGCCAAUGGCACUGCCCGGUAGCUAAAUGCGGAAGAGAUAAGUGCUGAAAGCAUCUAAGCACGAAACUUGCCCCGAGAUGAGUUCUCCCUGAGACUAUAAGUCUCCUGAAGGAACGUUAAAGACGAUGACGUUGAUAGGCCGGGUGUGUAAGCGCAGCGAUGCGUUGAGCUAACCGGUACUAAUGAACCGUGAGGCUUAACCUU